CCACAGCUUAUGCUAAGCAGCCUGUGUGGACUAAGAAAGCCCUCGGCAGAGGCCAAGCAUAUUAAACCCCAGAUUCAUCUUUUUGACACGUAGGCCCCAGAGGCACCAUAAAAUUGGCCAAAGAAAUUUCUUCUUCUUUUUUGCUACGCUAGUUUUUCUCUUUCUAUAUCCCGGUAGAAAGUUAAGAAGGAUCGAUCUUAAAACCACAGAAAAUAAGACAGUACAUCUCUAGAAAUAAUAGCCCCAGUGCUUCAGGGCGAGGAAGUGUAGUGCUGGCUGGAACCUCACUAGCGACGGAGACACAAAACAAUUUGAAACGUGAAGCAUCUAGAGGGUGAACGGGAAAGCUGAGUUGGCUAUGCGGAAUUCUCGGGGAACGUAGAAGGUGAAGGAUUAAAGCCAGUCAUAGAGAAACUAAUUACUGUGCUCCAGGAUACAUGACUUUAACUUUGGAGAUAGUAAAUCAUCAACGCAUAGACCUAGGCCUGGAAUUUGUUGAUAAUUUCACUCACAAACACAUAACCUGUGUGAUCCAUAUUCUGUAAGUGCCAGUUAUAUAAAAUGAGCAUGUUUUAAAUGGUCCUGCUUCUGCAUAACAAAGCAAACGAAUGGCAGUGACUAAAGUAUCAUGCAAGACGCACGGAUAUAGUAAUAAUGACAUAGCCAUGGAGCAUGCUGUGGGCCGGGCUCCACUCUGGGUUGAUGGCCACCAACACAGAGCCAGCUCACACAGGUAGCACGUUCCUCACUAUCCAGGGGAAAUGAGGUGGUACUGCCUUAAUGACUUACCCAGUCCACACAGCUAAGGAGGAGCAGGAGGUCCACUUCACACUCUCAGAUGCCACAACGUAACUGACCAAUCGCUUCUGUGUCUGACCGGUCCUCAGGACAGGCUUUACAGAAAAGGGGACACUUUGCAAGUGUGCAUGACAUGCUUGGCUUACGACCAUCUCACUGCAAAGGUUUCCUAAUGCAGCGUGAACUAAAGACAACCCUCUUUCCACCAUUCAUUCGCCAAAUACCGACUAUCCCCUAACGAUUCCCAGUGGCAUACACGCCACAGGGCGAACUGAAAACUGUCCUAAGAGUCUGUCCAUAGUGGUGAUAAUAGCAACACACAAACAUAGACUAGGGUGGUGAUAAUAGCAACACACAAACAUAGACUAGGGUGGUAAUGGGGGAAGAAAAGCAAAACACUGAAACAGGAAUUCACAUUCACUAAGGGUAAGGAAGUGUAGGAAAAGUGGUUCGAAAAGUGUUCUGGAAGGAUACGGUACUCAGGUAAAGAUCCCAGGAAGGGUGAGGAUCUUUGCAGUCCUCAUUAGUGCAAUAAAUGACCUCAUAGUUGCAGCCCAAACCAAUACCAACCAAUGCCUAACCCAUCCAGGGGUUUAUUGUGAAGGUCAAAUGAGGCAAAGGCAUGGUGUACUUAGCAUAGUGCCGGAGUCAGUGAGAACUCCAUGAAUGGCCGCUAGCCGCUGUGAAUCCAUGAAUGGGACCACUCCUGUCCACUUGUGUGGAGAAUUUGACAUAUUUACUGAAGUAACUGCUUCUAACAUGACAGGCGAGGCAAUACAAUUUAGAUCUGAAGUAUGACAACACCAUAAGAGACCCUCCCCUGGCUUAAAAAGACCUCUCCAUGCAGACUCCACGAAAAGAAUUUGGUACCGGUCAUGUGCCAAGCACAUGUGUGUGGAAAUCAAUACCAGCUUCAUGGACGAGCAUCUGAGGUGAUCCACCCUUUUUAAGCACAGUGACCCAACCAGCAGUGGCAGUAACUCUGACCAUGUCUCAGGGAAGGAGGACUUUACUGCCUAUGAUGAGUGAAGCAAAAUAAAUAACCGAGCUAAGAGUGAAAAGGAUGUUGGCCCAUUCAAAGCUCUGCCAGGAGAUCAUUCUUUAAAAUGGUUGUGGUCGUUUGAAAUAAAUCCGUCCACCCUU
Non-coding RNA from Rattus norvegicus (Norway rat), 1941 nucleotides. The record is from RefSeq and is a predicted model, not a curated record. Lineage: Eukaryota; Metazoa; Chordata; Mammalia; Rodentia; Muridae.